CUUGAGAGCGGCGGACGGGUGAGUAAUGCCUAGGAAUCUGCCUGGUAGUGGGGGAUAACGUUCGGAAACGGACGCUAAUACCGCAUACGUCCUACGGGAGAAAGCAGGGGACCUUCGGGCCUUGCGCUAUCAGAUGAGCCUAGGUCGGAUUAGCUAGUUGGUGAGGUAAUGGCUCACCAAGGCUACGAUCCGUAACUGGUCUGAGAGGAUGAUCAGUCACACUGGAAGGGAGACACGGUCCAGACUCCUACGGGA
This 255-nucleotide ribosomal RNA is filed under the name uncultured bacterium. RNAcentral's name for it is "partial 16S ribosomal RNA". It matches the Rfam family "Bacterial small subunit ribosomal RNA", at positions 88 to 346 of the family's 1533-position model. The record is from RNAcentral.